Long non-coding RNA from Gopherus flavomarginatus (Mexican gopher tortoise), 2349 nucleotides. RefSeq lists it as uncharacterized. The record is from RefSeq and is a predicted model, not a curated record. Lineage: Eukaryota; Metazoa; Chordata; Testudines; Testudinidae. The transcript has 4 exons.
ACUGCAUUGGCUGCUGAUUAAAUUCAAGAUUUCAGUUCUCAUCUUUGAAGACCCAUGUUACCAGAGGGAUUUUCUCACCCAUGUUGUUAUGGCCUCCCAUGACAGCAACACUCCAGGGAGACAACAGAGCUGCCAACCUCAGAGUGAAAUCCCUGGGUGCAGGAGCUGGAGCUUUCUCAGUACCUAGCCCACAAGCCUGACACUCACUGCCGGGCCCAUUCAACCUAAAUGAUAGCAUCUGCUGGGACUGGGGAAGCAGACAUGCAGAAUCCUCACAAAUGGAAAUGCCAGGGAUGGAUCAGAUACCAGAUGCAGGUGCCCUUGAACCAACUAAUCCAUUGGUUAGUGUUUGAAACACCAUAGGAGUCGUACUACAGCCAGCUAUUUGUCCGCAGGUGAUUCGGUCCCAUCUCUUCUGCAGAUGAGAAGUUAGCCUGUUUGCUGAGCUGGCUGGUGGAAGGACAUCGGGGGAGAGGCCAAGAUUUCCAAAAGCGAGAGUGGAAGUGGAAACAGUUGCAGGGUUAGGGGCUUACAGGGUAUUUUUGUUCAACGUGGCCUUCAGAUUGACCAACACAUGGUAAUAAACAAUUACUGACAAUGUUGCCAUUCUUCUGCUGUUAUAGUGUUUUGAAUCUAUAUGACAUAGGAAAAAUAACCAAAUGCAUUGUCAGACUUUUCUUCUGCUAAUGCUGGUAGAACUGUGCAUAUAACCAGUGCCCCAGGCACUGAAUACAUAACAUCUGUGGCUCAACAGCUAACUCUUCUGUGUAGGUAUGUGAAUCUCAUCCAGUCCUGGCAUAUCUUCUGUCUCAUUAAUAUCUGUAUGGUUGACCUGCUUCCUUGCCAGAGAUCAUUCCGUCAGUAACUAAUCAGCUUUCCAAUGACUGGUUAGUCACUCUAUAAAAAUCAAGAAAUCUGUCACCACUGUUUCCUUUCUCCCACUUAUUUCUGUGUACUACACACUUUCAUCCAUACCAUUAAAACUCAUCAAAUAAGCAUCUGUGAGAUAAUGGCUGCAACACAUUUUAUGAUACAUUUCCAAUAAACGAAGAGGUUUCUUUUUCCCAAUUAUUCACCUAGUUUAAAGUGGGGAAAAUAAUUCAAAAUAUUUUGUUUGAAAAAUGUUGCCUCUAUUUUCAUGAAUACUCACAAAUUAUUUGUCCAGCUCUAUAAACAUCAACAAAAAUAAUCAUAGAAGACAAAAGAAAAAGAGCCGUUAGAUAGCUCUUCCUGUUCACUCCAAGACCCCUCAAAGAGAAGUGUUAUCUAACUGAUGGCAGUUCAUCAAAUAGCUAUGUAAGCAGAGUCAGGAUGAGCUCUACCCUGACAUCUGGUGGUGAAUUAUGGGGAGUGUGGAAAGGAAUUUUAGGUAUUUGCAUUGGCACACCCACCUCACCUAGCAUAGCCCAUGGCAGCCUAGGAUGGUUAUUUUUACAGCUUUGGGAUCCUCAAUUUCUUUGUUAUUGGGGCAGGAGGAAUAAAGUGUUGUCACCCUGAUUAUGUGAAUGAGGAACUAUGAGACUGCUUUAUGCCAGAGAUGUCUCAAUAUCAAUUAAGUAGCACUUGCUAGACAAGGGACAUGGGUGCCAAAACCCAUUGAAAUGAGAGAGGUUGGGGACUGGUGUGUGUAUGUGAUGGUAUGGGGCCCUUUUGAGGGCCUGGAACACUAAUUGCACAUCUUCCUCUCUCCACUGUUGAAGAGUAGAGCUAAUUUUGAUUCCAUUAGGACUCCAUCUAGAGGCUGCUGAGCUGAAUUCAUGUUGGCCAAUGGUGCACCAGCACCAGGGCUCCCCUACUACAAGCUGAAAUCACUAAAAGAGCUAAGCUUAUUGAGCUGAGAUCACUGAGUGCUGUGUUAACUAGUGGGGGAGCCUGAAGACCUGUUGCUAAGCAGCUGGCAGAGUGGAGCAGUUUGCAGCAUGUUGGAGCAGCCCAUGGAACAGUGAGCGGAGUGGAGCGGUUUGCGGGGACGGCUGGAGGAGUGGCUGGUGUAGUGGAGCUGGUCGUGGUGAAGGCUACAGCAGAACUCCACGGAGAGGCAGAGCAGUUUGCCCUGGCCCAUGUAAGGUGCCCCUUAACACCCUGUGUGUGCCCCCCUCCCAUUUCCACCCAGGCUGGGGGGGUAAAACUCUGCAGAUAAACUUUUGACUCUGGGGUGGCACUGACCAGAGACUUUCAGGUUUUUGGACUUUGGGGUGAUUGGACUUAAGACCCUAAGGGGGAAAGGACAUUGCCAAACGUACUUGGAGGUGGGUUUUUGCUUAUGGUUUGUGUUAUAAUCCUGUUUGUGGUGUUUCUCCAAUGUGAUGCUGCAUUGUUUCCCUCCUUUAUUAAAAGGAUUUUGCUACA